GUCACACCAUGAGAGUUGGGAAUACCCGAAGCCUGUGAGCUAACAUUAUGAGGCAGCAGUCGAAGGUAGAAUCAAUGAUUGGGGUGAAGUCGUAACAAGGUAAC
This 104-nucleotide ribosomal RNA is filed under the name uncultured bacterium. RNAcentral describes it as "partial 16S ribosomal RNA". It matches the Rfam family "Bacterial small subunit ribosomal RNA", at positions 1396 to 1500 of the family's 1533-position model. The record is from RNAcentral.